RNAcentral lists this ribosomal RNA (21 nucleotides) under Moniliophthora perniciosa. RNAcentral describes it as "partial 26S ribosomal RNA". The record is from RNAcentral. Lineage: Eukaryota; Fungi; Basidiomycota; Agaricomycetes; Agaricales; Marasmiaceae.
GGACAAUGAACUUAGAUCAUU